GAACGAACGCUGGCGGCAUGCCUAACACAUGCAAGUCGAACGCUCCGCAAGGGGGAGUGGCGAACGGGUGAGUAACGCGUGGGAACCUGCCCAGUAGUUGGGGAUAACCGCGGGAAACUGCGGCUAAUACCGAAUACGCCCUAAGGGGAAAGAUUUAUCGCUAUUGGAGGGGCCCGCGUCGGAUUAGCUGGUUGGUGAGGUAACGGCUCACCAAGGCGACGAUCCGUAGCUGUCUGAGAGGANG
This 244-nucleotide ribosomal RNA is filed under the name uncultured bacterium. Its description in RNAcentral is "partial 16S ribosomal RNA". It matches the Rfam family "Bacterial small subunit ribosomal RNA", at positions 27 to 302 of the family's 1533-position model. The record is from RNAcentral.